GUGGGGAAUCUUGCGCAAUGGGCGAAAGCCUGACGCAGCCAUGCCGCGUGAAUGAUGAAGGUCUUAGGAUUGUAAAAUUCUUUCACCGGGGACGAUAAUGACGGUACCCGGAGAAGAAGCUCCGGCUAACUUCGUGCCAGCAGCCGCGGUAAUACGAAGGGGGCUAGCGUUGCUCGGAAUUACUGGGCGUAAAGGGCGCGUAGGCGGACAGCUUAGUCAGAGGUGAAAGCCCAGGGCUCAACCUUGGAAUUGCCUUUGAUACUGGCUGUCUUGAGUUUGGGAGAGGUAAGUGGAACUGCGAGUGUAGAGGUGAAAUUCGUAGAUAUUCGCAAGAACACCAGUGGCGAAGGCGGCUUACUGGUCCGGUACUGACGCUGAGGUGCGAAAGCGUGGGGAGCAAACAGGAUUAGAUACCCCUGUAGUCC
RNAcentral lists this ribosomal RNA (425 nucleotides) under uncultured bacterium. RNAcentral describes it as "partial 16S ribosomal RNA". It matches the Rfam family "Bacterial small subunit ribosomal RNA", at positions 354 to 796 of the family's 1533-position model. The record is from RNAcentral.